CAAAAAAGCAAGCCUGCCCCUAUGGGGAAGACUUCCUGCCCGCCUUCCCUGCAGGAGGCUGGCCCAGGGCUUUGAGGGGAAUCAUGGUGAACUACAAGUGCUCCCUGCUUUCUGAUGCCCCCCUAGUGGGGCCAAGGCCCUCCCUGCUCUUGGGGCCUUGACACCCCUACUCUCCCAAGCCUGGUGAUCCAGUACUGAUGCUUGGUGAGCCCGCCAACAGCGCUGCUGCCCCUUCCCUUGAGGACUAAGCUCCGAUUUUUUAUCUUGCCCAGAUUCCUAUCUAAGGGGUCUGGGGAGUCAUGCCCUACCAACCAUACAUUCUCAUCAGACGGAUUUUAUCUGACCCUGUAUAUCAUGACUGACUUUCCAAUCUGACUGUGGCAUAACAAGGAAGAAAAUCAAAAUGUUUUACCCCAAAAUAAAUCUCCUUGCCAUAUCUCGAAAUUGUCCUGCAAAGUCUCUUGUGGGAAAAAUCCAUAUUCUAUAGGAAAUAUUUCCUUUCCCCUUUGUUUUCCUUCCUUCCUUCCCAGAUCCAGGAGAUAAUCAACUAAGAGCCAGGUACCCUUUUAGGUCCGAUAAGAAACAUUUUACAACCUGCUCUCUCUCUCUCUGAAGUCUGCUAUCUGAGAGAUUCCUCUGCACAAUAAAACUUGGUCCCCACAGUUCUGUAUCUUAACAUGAACCUUCCUUUCCAUUAAUCCCAGGUCUCCAGAUAAACCCAACCAAUUGUCAGUCAGAAAAUGUUUAAAUUUACCUAUAGCCUGGAAGCCCCCACUUUGAGUUGUCUCACCUUUCUGAACCAAACCAAUGUAUUUUUAAAAUGUCUUUGAUUGAGUCUCAUGCCUUCCUAAAACAUAUAAAACCAAGCUGUACCCCGACCACCUUGAACACAUGUUCUCAGGGUCUCCUGAGGGCUGUGUCAUGGGCCAUGGUCACUCAUAUUUGGCUCAGAAUAAAUCUCUUCAAAUAUUUUACAGAGUUUGACUCUUUUAGUCAGCACCCUUUAAUCACCAAGGCUUCCAAGCACACUCCCAUUUGGGAACCAUGCUGUAAUGGGGCCCAGACCCUGUCUUCAGGUGAUCUGAAUUGGCGCUUCUGAGAAAGCAAUUUGGGAGAAUGAUUUCCCCCCUCGAACCCAAGCCUUCCUUCUCUGGCUCCCUGGCUGAGGCCAAAGUAUAGCCCAGACCUGCUUCCAGAUCUAUCCUCCUCCUGCAGUCGCUCCAGCCACUCCACCACUCCGCCAGGGCCAAACUGCACUUCUUCCAGCCUGAUACCCUCUUUCCUGCUGGGCUCUACCGGUCUGUCUUCUGCGGUGAGCAACCCUCACCUAACUGUCACAGGCCAAGGGCAUAGUUCACCACCUUGUUUUCUCUGUCAACAGCUCUUCCUUCAGACGAUCACAAUGCACAUCUGUGUUUUAAACCUAAGGCCCUCUAAUUUUUACUCUAUUUCCAACCACUAAUUAAAAAUGGACUCCUCCUCUCUUCUUCCCUCUUUCUUAGUAUAUUCCCUUACAGUUUAUCAUGACGAUCUGUGAGAAUAAUUGUCGUAGAGGGCUUUGGAGGGACCAUUUCUGCAUGUAGAUGGACUGGGGCUGUCAGUGAAACCUGGAUGGUUAUAAGCUUUCUAUUUUAAUGAAUUUAUACGAGUACAAAUAUAUCGCUUCAGAGCCACCUUUUGUUUGCCUCAAGAAAUAGCCAAUUCAUGUUACAUUUUUAAAAAGGUCUUCCACUAUUAAUUAAAAGGAAUGAUUUGGGGUGGGGUAGGGUGCGAGUGUGGCAGAGAUUGGUUGUGACCACCUUCAGCUUAUUAACUUCCACUUCCAGCAGGUUCCCAGGGGGGCCACCUAUUAAAGACUGAGAGGACAUUGCUUUUCCAAACCUCCUCUCUUUUUACUGCUCGGCUCAUCUCCUCAGCUUGGGACCUCAGCGGGCAAGGGCAGAGUAGGAGGGAGGGCCCCGAGGGGUGGCGGACAGGCUGGUAGUCCAAGACGGUCUGGAAUGGAAUAGAAUAUGAAGAGAAAUGCAGCCCACCCACUCCUUCGGGGAGAGGAGAGUGCUGGUGGAGAAACUCGGGGCCUGAAUUUUUCUUGAGGAAUCUAAGAAGAUCCUUUGGCUUCAAGGCAGAUGGAACCUGGAUGGUUUAGGGGAGGAAUGGGACUUGACAGCGGCGCUCAAAGCUUCUGGGCAGGGCUUUGAUCUAAUUGACAGAAGUGAAAAUAGUAGACCUUGGCUCCUCUCUGCUCCCAUCUCUCUCCUGCUCAAAGUCCUUGGUCAGGCACUGUUCGUUCCUUCCAGCCCAAAGACUUGGGAAAGUAAUUUCUGCAGACCCCUCCAGAGCUGUUUCUGACCCCACAGACAAUCUGGUGGGUGAAGAAACCUGAAUUAGCGGAGACUUUCCACAAUAGCCCUCAAUCACUUCUCUUCAGCUCAGUUCCAGACCCUUUACAAAGUGCGUGAAGGCACCAUUCCCCAAAGCGCAGAAAGAAGGCGCAGCCUGCCAGCAGGACAGGACAUGUGAAAUCAGGGACGUCUGGGGAAACCCUCUAAGGUGAUCCUCGCCCCUGGCCUAGAAGUCUAGGGAGGCGGAGGUCCCCAUACACCCACCUCGGGGGGUACCUCAGGAACAGAGUAACCGUCCCGCGGGGCCGGCUGGUGGAGUGGGGCCGUUCCUAACGGCUGCCUCCGUCCUGCCUCGCGGUCUAGGGAAGGGGUCUCGGCCACCUCCUCCCGCAGCCUUCCAAAUCAAGAUGGACUCGCAGGAGACUACACCCUGCGUCUGCAGAACCUCAGAAUACAGAACCACCAGGGGUUCCUGGCCCAUGGCCCUGGGAGGAUUGCUGUUGGGGAGAUGGGAAGGAAUCUAGGGAGGCCGAGGCCCGCAACAACCAUCCCCGAGGACCUCAGAGCACAGUCUUCCCCCCUCGGGGUUGGCAGGGGCAGCCUGGCGCGGGGUGGGGAGAGGGGCCGGGGCGGGGCCGGGGCGAGGGGGCGGGGCCGGGGCGUAGAGGGCCACCAGGUCCCUCCCCACACGCCCGCUGUCCACGCGCUGCGGCCUUGGAGUAACUGCUGUUCUUAAAGGCUGCCUCCGUCCUGCCGCGCGGCCUUUAGAGGGUUGGAGCUGGCAGAACCGUAACUCCCUCUCUGAGGGUGAAUACGGGCCUUGAUUGCCAGAAGGGCCCUCGGCCGGGGACGCGGGAUGAUGCGGGGCCGGGAGAUGCUUUCCUGGAGGCUGAGAAACCUGGAGGGAGACCCCCAAAACUUCUCAGUUCGCCGACCCCUUGGUCCCAGAGGGAGAGGAGCAUCCCCAAAGAACAUUCAAGUCUGAGCCUCAAGGAGCCUCUGCGACUCGGUGUCUAGAUCCAGGAAAUGGAGAAUGAGCCGUGACUUUGGAUGCUUCACUCUUGUCCAUCAGGCUCGGAAUUGGCCUGUUGAAGUAGGAGGCAGGACUCAACUUCAGACCAGAUUGAAGACUGGCUGACACAGAAGAGGCACCAAAAGCACCUCUCUCUCCAUAAGACAUGCCCACCAGUGCCAUGACAGUUUACCAUUGCUAUGGCAAUGCCCAGAAGUUCUCACCCCUUUUCCAGACAUUUCUGCAUAAUCUACCCCUCAAUUGGCAUGUGAUCAAAAGUGGGUGUCAAAAUGACUGUGGAACUGUCCCUGAGCUGCUACUCUUGACAUGCUGGUUACAGGGUAGCCCGGCUCUGCAGGGACAGUCACGGAGCUGAAAAACUGCUGCCUAAUGAAGCUGUUUUCUUCUACCACCGGCUCACCCUCAAAUUAUUUCCUGAGCGAACUCAAGAACCUUCCUGGGCUAAGCCCCAAUUUUGGGGCUCGCCUGCCCCUGCAUCACAGCUUCCUCUUCUGUUCACAGCUGCAACCGCCUACUCAACCUUCUGCGGUUCCUCUCCCUGCCCCUCCACAGUGGCUGCUGAUGGGAGCUCUGGCUCCCUGCGUUUUCACUAUCUCCCAGUCAAAUGCAGAGUCCCUGUGCAAUUUAAAUGCUUCUCAGCUAAGAACAGAGAAGGGGAUAGCAUAAGGAUAUUCAAAAGAUUCAAGAAAUCUCAAAAGUGAUCACAAAACAUUUGUCUCUGACCAACCAGAAACAUCGACGGGUGAGAAGGGCAUUUCCUCUAGCUGAAUUCUUCAUGGGUCUUCAGGCUCUGUUUUCACUUUGGAUUUUCUGGAGUCUCCUGAAGGUUACCUGAAAUCUUGUUGGUCCUGAAUAUUGUAUGUGGAGUCCCAAGCUGCAAGAAGUCAGUGGGGCUGGACGGGAGCCAAAAUCAGAGACUCAAGCAGCACAGCUGGGCCCCAUUGAAAGUGAGACCAGCUGUCCCAGUUGGAAGCUGGGGUAUAGAGCUGGGGAUGGGUGGAGGCAGUGACAGGCUCCAUGUAUUGGUCAUUCAGACUCCCCAGUAGCCUCAGGACCCAACUCCCACAGGUCAGAGAAGACCUGGUGGAGGGCCUUAUGCAAACCUCAGUGGGUGAUGCAGGAGGGAGUUUUCUGAGCAGGAAUGCCAACAAAAAAGGCCUUCAAAGGAAGGCCCUGCUUGGGACAAUCCUGCCUCUUUAUGGUCUGGUUCACAGGUUCCCCUGGGUGGGGUAAUGGAAUCCAAGCUAAGGUGUCUGACUUCAAAAGUUUUCAGAAAUGCCACUUUUGUAAGCAUCAGGGAUUGGGUUUUCUGAGAUGCAAAACAUCUUUGUUAAGGGGUUAAAGCAUCCUUAAGCUGUUUAGGUUUCUGGGGAUACAUAGACUUAGGAAGUUAGAGCAGGUGAAGUUGAGGGGGAUGGGAACUAAGAAUUAGCUCAAAAUAGUCACCAAUGCAGAAACCCAGGCACUUGGGACCCUGACAGUGGGGAAGGCAGAGGAGUAACUGUGGGGACUUGGGCACCCUAUUAGCAGAAUGGGGUAACAGAGAAGGCAAGAAUUGCUUCCCAGGAGACUGGGCUGGGAACAGGAAGGGGACUAAAAUGCUGUCCCUGGCUGAAGAGUGUGGAGGUAUAGAGGAGCUGGUAGCAGGGCUCUGAAUCCAUACACGAGAGCAAGGACCAGUGGUUUCAGGGUGGGAUAGGGCUUUGAUGUCUUCAUGGACUUAGGGUAAUAUUCACCACCAUGGUGAAUUCCACAAAGGAGAAUUCACACAAAGGUCUCGGACCAGCCAGUUUCCAUGUGAAAAAGCCAUCUGGGAGCAAGGGAACAAACCCAGGAAUACAACUGUAUUGGGGGAAAUUCAGCCAGACAUAGGGCAAAAUUCACCCCCAAUAUUUCAUGUAGGUUCUUUUCUAUUUUCCGUAAGUGUCGGCCGGUCUGAGAAAUAAAGGGACAGAGCUCAAAAGAGAGAAAUUUUAAAGCUGGGUGUCUGGGGGAGACAUCACAUGUCGGCAGGUUCCGUGAUGCCCCCCGAGCCGUAAAACCAGCAAGUUUUUAUUCGUGAUUUUCAAAAGGGGAGGGGGAGUGUAUGAAUAGGGUGUGGGUCACAGAGAUCACAUGCUUCACAAGAUAAUAAGAUAUCACAAGGCAAAUGGAGGCAGGGCGAGAUCACAGGACCACAGGACCGGGGCAAAAUUAAAAUUGCUAAUGAAGUUUCGGGCAUGCAUUUUCAUUGAUAACAUCUUAUCAGGAGACAGGGUCUGAGAGCAGACAACCGGUCUGACCAAAAUUUAUUAGGCGGGAAUUUCCUCGUCCUAAUAAGCCUGGGAGCGCUAUGGGAGACUGGGGCUUAUUUCAUCCCUACAGCUUUGACCAUAAAAGACGGCCGCCCCCCGAAGCGGCCAUUUCGGAGGCCUACCCUCAGGGACACAUUCUCUUUCUCAGGGAUGUUCCUUGCUGAGAAAAAAAAUUUAGCGAUAUUUCUCCCAUUUGUUUUUGAAAGAAGAAAAAUAUGGCUCUGUUCUGCCUGGCUCACCGGCAGUCAGAGUUUAAGGUUAUCUCUCUUGCUCCCUGAACAUUGCUGUUAUCCUGUUCUUUUUUCAAGGUGCCCAGAUUUCAUAUUGUUCAAACACACAUGCUCUACAAACAAUUUGUGCAGUUAACGCAAUCAUCACAGGGUCCUGAGGCGACAUACAUCCUCCUCAUUUUACAAAGAUGAUGGGAUUAAGAGAUUAAAGACAGGCAUAGGAAAUCACAAGGGUAUUGAUUGGGGAAGUGAUAAGUGUCCAUGAAAUCUUCACAAUUUAUGUUCAGAGAUUGCAGUAAAGACAGGCGUAAGAAAUUAUAAAAGUAUUAAUUUGGGGAACUAAUAAAUGUCCAUGAAAUCUUCACAAUCCACAAUUAUUCUGCCAUGGCUUCAGCCGGUCCCUCCAUUUGGGGUUCCUGACUUCCCGCAACACAAGUGGAGAGAGAGGUGGCCUGACAUUAUGGCUAAGUUGAUAUGGAAGCAUUCUGGUUUGUUCUAGAAAAAAUGAAAGAGGUGGUGCAGGUAAUCAUCAGCUCCUGGUUCUGUAGCAAGGCUUUUGCUGCAAUCCCAGGAGGUAGCAACCUAGGCUUUGGUUCUGAAAGAAGAGGGUCUACCUUCCUGAAUCAUUUUUAGGAGUCUGCUGAUGGCCAGGCUUGGUGAGUUGGACUCUGUAAGGAAUUUUUAUUUAAGUGAGGUCUGGGUAGGAAAAGAGAAGGGAAAAACUUGACCCUGCCUGCACCAAAGGAUUCUGGGAAGGAGAAUAAAGAGAAAAACCCUUCUUCAUGUUUCUGCUUCAGAGCAGGAGAACCAUCACAAGCUAAGUAAAGUCAAUGAAGGGCGAGUGGCCCUAUGGCCACCUGGGCACACACCUGCCCCUUGGCCACCUUGCAUAGGCAGGCUGAGGAGGUCACUAAGGCUUGGUUUUCCUGACCUGCCCUGAUUCCACAUGCUGUAAGGAGGACCCAGAAGGCUGUGUGGCUACAGAGGUGCCCAGCAUGGUGGGGGUCACUUCAGUGUGGACACUAGACUGGACCGCGUGGAACUACAACCAGCUCAGAGCGCCAGCCAGAGUGCUGUUCUGGCCAGAAGGAGGAGCCAAGACCCACACCCAGGAGGACAAUGAGCCCCUCUCUGCAGACAGGAGCCAGCCACACCUGGGGUCUGGGGAGACUCUUCCUGAUUCCAAAUGGGACUGAACUUUAAACCAGACUGGGCAUUUGAGCAAUUUUUUAAAAGCUGUCAACCAAAUAAAGGAAUGCCA
This 7160-nucleotide long non-coding RNA is filed under the name Homo sapiens (human). Its description in RNAcentral is "non-protein coding lnc-ITPR3-1:1". The record is from RNAcentral. Lineage: Eukaryota; Metazoa; Chordata; Mammalia; Primates; Hominidae.